UAGCUCUCAUCUCUCUCGAAGUGUGCUCUCACGGUAAGCUCUCGCCCCUCUCUCUCUCGGUUUACCUUUCCCCAUUCAUCCCCUUCUCAUCAUCAUCUUGGCUUCUUCAAGGUGUUACGCUCGUACGUUGUAAAUCGGUGUAGGGAAAGCUUCGAAUUUACGUUUGAACUAUCCAAGAAAGGGUGAUCGUUUACGAGGAAAGUGUGGUUGAAGAAGGGAAUUAUUUUAAAAGCUAAGCAAUCGAGGUUGAGCGGCGAUGGGGAGGACGGAUGUUGAGCAGUUAAAGUCAAAAUGCGUUUCACUUUGUUUUGGAUAAUGUCGUGUCGUCAUACCCGGCAUUAUCUGUCUCUUGAUCUUUUUCCGCUGCUUGUAAUCCGAAACAAUGUUUUCAUUUAAACUCUGGUUACUAAAACUUUUGAA
Salvia splendens (bonfire salvia) is the source of this 420-nucleotide long non-coding RNA. RefSeq lists it as uncharacterized. The transcript has 3 exons. The record is from RefSeq and is a predicted model, not a curated record. NCBI's taxonomy places the organism in Eukaryota, Viridiplantae, Streptophyta, Magnoliopsida, Lamiales, Lamiaceae.